AUAUCAAUAAGCGGAGGAAAAGAAACCAACAGGGAUUACCUCAGUAACGGCGAGUGAAGCGGUAACAGCUCAAAUUUGAAAUCUGGCCUCACGGUCCGAGUUGUAAUUUGUAGAGGAUGCUUCGAGCAUGGUCUGGCCUAAGUUCCUUGGAACAGGACGUCAUAGAGGGUGAGAAUCCCGUAUGCGGCCAGGUGCCUACGCUCAUGUGAAGCUCCUUCGACGAGUCGAGUUGUUUGGGAAUGCAGCUCAAAAUGGGUGGUAAAUUUCAUCUAAAGCUAAAUAUUGGCCAGAGACCGAUAGCGCACAAGUAGAGUGAUCGAAAGAUGAAAAGCACUUUGAAAAGAGAGUUAAACAGUAUGUGAAAUUGUUGAAAGGGAAGCGCUUGCAACCAGACUUGAGCGCGGCGGUUCCCCUGACCUUUUGGUUAGGCUACUCCGUCGUGUCCAGGCCAACAUCGGUUCUGAGGGUCGGUCAAAGGCCUUGGGAAUGUAUCUACCCACGGGUAGACUUAUAGACCAGGGUGUCAUGCGGCCUCUCGGGACCGAGGAACGCGCUUCGGCUCGGAUGUUGGCGUAAUGGUUGUCAGCGA
This 589-nucleotide ribosomal RNA is filed under the name uncultured fungus. RNAcentral describes it as "eukaryotic LSU rRNA". It matches the Rfam family "Eukaryotic large subunit ribosomal RNA", at positions 40 to 647 of the family's 3401-position model. The record is from RNAcentral. Lineage: Eukaryota; Fungi.